GGUUGGCCCAAGUUCAGUGGAGUUUACAACUAAUUGAUCACAGCCAGUCACAGAUUUCUUUGUUCCUUCUCUGUAAGAUUCUCACUGCUGCUUCACUUGACUGGCUUUUU
RNAcentral lists this Y RNA (110 nucleotides) under Microcebus murinus (gray mouse lemur). Its description in RNAcentral is "Y RNA (ENSMICG00000022145.3)". It matches the Rfam family "Y RNA". From Rfam's summary of the family: Y RNAs are components of the Ro ribonucleoprotein particle (Ro RNP), in association with Ro60 and La proteins. Lineage: Eukaryota; Metazoa; Chordata; Mammalia; Primates; Cheirogaleidae. The record is from Rfam by way of RNAcentral.